RNAcentral lists this non-coding RNA (45 nucleotides) under Schistosoma margrebowiei. The record is from RNAcentral. Lineage: Eukaryota; Metazoa; Platyhelminthes; Trematoda; Strigeidida; Schistosomatidae.
AUCUAGCUGACGAGUUCUAAUUAGGACGAAACGCCCGUCGUGGAU